CUUGAACGCUGGCGGCAGGCCUAACACAUGCAAGUCGAACGAGUGGCGGACGGGUGAUUAAUGUCUGGGAAACUGCCCGAUGGAGGGGGAUAACUACUGGAAACGGUCGCUAAUACCGCAUCCCAUCGGAUGUGCCCAGAUGGGAUUACCUAGUAGGUGGGGUAACGGCUCACCUAAGCGACGAUCCCGAGCUGGUCUGCGAGGAUGACCAGCCACACUGGAACUGAGACACGGUACAGACUCCUACGGGAGGGAGCAGUGGGGAAUAUUGCACAAUGGGCGCAAUCUUGAUGCAGCCAUGCCGCGUGGAUGAAGAAGGACUUCGGGUUGUAAAGGACUUUCAGCGAGGAGGCGUGACUCGCAGAAGAAGCACCGGCUAACUCCGUGCCAGCAGCCGCGGUAAUUC
This 406-nucleotide ribosomal RNA is filed under the name uncultured bacterium. Its description in RNAcentral is "partial 16S ribosomal RNA". It matches the Rfam family "Bacterial small subunit ribosomal RNA", at positions 30 to 526 of the family's 1533-position model. The record is from RNAcentral.